This 426-nucleotide ribosomal RNA is filed under the name uncultured bacterium. Its description in RNAcentral is "bacterial SSU rRNA". It matches the Rfam family "Bacterial small subunit ribosomal RNA", at positions 356 to 773 of the family's 1533-position model. The record is from RNAcentral.
GGGGAAUAUUGCACAAUGGGGGAAACCCUGAUGCAGCAACGCCGCGUGAGUGAAGAAGGCCUUCGGGUCGUAAAACUCUGUUGCCGGGGAAGAACAAGUGCCGUUCGAACAGGGCGGCGCCUUGACGGUACCCGGCCAGAAAGCCACGGCUAACUACGUGCCAGCAGCCGCGGUAAUACGUAGGUGGCAAGCGUUGUCCGGAAUUAUUGGGCGUAAAGCGCGCGCAGGCGGCUUCUUAAGUCUGAUGUGAAAUCUUGCGGCUCAACCGCAAGCGGUCAUUGGAAACUGGGAGGCUUGAGUGCAGAAGAGGAGAGUGGAAUUCCACGUGUAGCGGUGAAAUGCGUAGAGAUGUGGAGGAACACCAGUGGCGAAGGCGGCUCUCUGGUCUGUAACUGACGCUGAGGCGCGAAAGCGUGGGGAGCAAAC